RNAcentral lists this unclassified non-coding RNA (315 nucleotides) under Hevea brasiliensis (rubber tree). The record is from RNAcentral. Lineage: Eukaryota; Viridiplantae; Streptophyta; Magnoliopsida; Malpighiales; Euphorbiaceae.
GUAGGUCAAGAGCAAUUCUCACCUAGCUCACCUGGGUGGCCACCUUUCAUGAGGGUGAACCCAAUUUUGGACUGGUCAUACAGAGAUGUAUGGGCGUUCCUAUUGGUAUCCAAGGUUCGGUACUGCAGUCUUUAUGAUCAGGGGUAUACCUCAAUCGGGAGCAUUCAUGAUACUGUUCCUAAUGCACUUUUGUGCACGAGGAACUCCGACAGUAGUGAAGAGAAGUUUAAGCCUGCCUAUUUACUCGCUGAUGGAAGAUUGGAAAGAGCUGGAAGAGCAAAGAAGAACUCUUCUGCGGCUUCCGGGAAAUCAUCU